Molecule: ribosomal RNA, 512 nt
Filed under: uncultured Bacillota bacterium
Lineage: Bacteria; Bacillati; Bacillota
Description: bacterial SSU rRNA
Rfam family: Bacterial small subunit ribosomal RNA
Source: RNAcentral
UGCGCCUUGCCAGCCCGCUCAGAAACUACAAAGGAAUUGACGGGAACCCGCACAAGCGGUGGAGUAUGUUGUUUAAUUCGAGGAUACACGAAGAACCUUACCAGGUCUUGACAUACCAUUGACCGUUCUAGAGAUAGAAUUUUCCCUUUCGGGGGACAAUGGAUACAGGUGGUGCAUGGUUGUCGUCAGCUCGUGCCGUGAGGUGUUGGGUUAAGUCCCGCAACGAGCGCAACCCUUAUCGAUAGUUGCUAAUAUUAAGUUAAGGACUCUAUUGAGACUGCCAGCGACAAGCUGGAGGAAGGUGGGGAUGACGUCAAAUCAUCAUGCCCUUUAUGACCUGGGCUACAAACGUACUACAAUGGCCAAAUACAAAGAGAUGCGAAGCCGCGAGGUGGAGCGAACCUCAUAAAAAUGGUCUCAGUUCGGAUUGGAGUCUGCAACUCGACUCCAUGAAGUCGGAAUCGCUAGUAAUCGCGAGUCAGCAGAUCGCGGUGAAUACGUUCCCGGGUUUU